Molecule: transfer RNA, 68 nt
Filed under: Sphaeronemoura elephas
Lineage: Eukaryota; Metazoa; Arthropoda; Insecta; Plecoptera; Nemouridae
Description: tRNA-Met
Rfam family: tRNA
About the family: Transfer RNA (tRNA) molecules are approximately 80 nucleotides in length. Their secondary structure includes four short double-helical elements and three loops (D, anti-codon, and T loops).
Source: RNAcentral
AGAAAGAUAAGCUAAGUAAGCUACUGGGUUCAUACCCCAUUUAUAGGGGUUAAACCCCCUUCUCUCUA